Molecule: unclassified non-coding RNA, 339 nt
Filed under: Hevea brasiliensis (rubber tree)
Lineage: Eukaryota; Viridiplantae; Streptophyta; Magnoliopsida; Malpighiales; Euphorbiaceae
Source: RNAcentral
GGAAAGCGUGCUGCCUGGCGUGUGCAUUGCUCCGAUCAAGUCGGGCGGGUAUGCUAGCCGGGUGGUGGAUGACGGACAAGCAGGGUCGAUCGAUGUAGGGGAUUUGUAUGCUGAUGAGGAGAGGGACUUUCUUGUGUCGGUCAGUGUUCCGCCCGUGGCUGGUGAUGAGGUUAUACUUUUGAGGGUGGGGUGUGCGUAUAGAGACCCCGUGUCAAAGGAGAUGGUCAGUUUGGGUGGCGAGGAGGUGAGGAUCCGACGACCGGAGGUGGUUGUGGGACAGACAUUGUCGAUCGAGGUGGAUCGGGAGAGGAAUCGUGUCCAGGCCGCCGAGGCGAUGGC